Molecule: ribosomal RNA, 271 nt
Filed under: unidentified marine bacterioplankton
Lineage: Bacteria
Description: partial 16S ribosomal RNA
Rfam family: Bacterial small subunit ribosomal RNA
Source: RNAcentral
UCCUUCGGGUGAGUGAAGAAUUGGAAAGCGGCGGACGGGUGAGUAACGCGUGGGUAACCUGCCCUAUACAGGAGGAUAGCAGUUGGAAACGACUAUUAAUACUCCAUAAGCACACACUGCCGCAUGGUAGAGCGUGAAAAGAUUUAUCGGUAUAGGAUGGACCCGCGUUUGAUUAGCUAGUUGGUGAGGUAAUGGCUCACCAAGGCGACGAUCAAUAGCCGACCUGAGAGGGUGAUCGGCCACACUGGGACUGAGACACGGCCCAGACUCC